UGGUUAGCGGCGGACGGGUGAGUAACACGUAGGCAACCUGCCCGUAAGACCGGGAUAACUACCGGAAACGGUAGCUAAUACCGGAUAAUUUAUCGCUUCGCAUGGAGCGGUAAUGAAAGACGGAGCAAUCUGUCACUUACGGAUGGGCCUGCGGCGCAUUAGCUAGUUGGUGAGGUAACGGCUCACCAAGGCGACGAUGCGUAGCCGACCUGAGAGGGUGAACGGCCACACUGGGACUGAGACACGGCCCAGACUCCUACGGGAGGCAGCAGUAGGGAAUCUUCCGCAAUGGGCGAAAGCCUGACGGAGCAACGCCGCGUGAGUGAUGAAGGUUUUCGGAUCGUAAAGCUCUGUUGCCAGGGAAGAACGUCGGGUAGAGUAACUGCUAUCCGAGUGACGGUACCUGAGAAGA
RNAcentral lists this ribosomal RNA (412 nucleotides) under Paenibacillus sp. ON10. RNAcentral's name for it is "bacterial SSU rRNA". It matches the Rfam family "Bacterial small subunit ribosomal RNA", at positions 89 to 487 of the family's 1533-position model. The record is from RNAcentral. Lineage: Bacteria; Bacillati; Bacillota; Bacilli; Caryophanales; Paenibacillaceae.